This 391-nucleotide ribosomal RNA is filed under the name uncultured Scuticociliatia. RNAcentral's name for it is "partial small subunit ribosomal RNA". It matches the Rfam family "Eukaryotic small subunit ribosomal RNA", at positions 30 to 432 of the family's 1831-position model. Lineage: Eukaryota; Ciliophora; Oligohymenophorea. The record is from RNAcentral.
GCUUGUCUCAAAGAUUAAGCCAUGCACGUCUAAGUAUAAGCGAUUAUACUGUGAAACUGCGAAUGGCUCAUUAUAUCAGUUAUAGUUUAUUUGAUGGUCCUUGCUACUUGGAUAACCGUAGUAAUUCUAGAGCUAAUACAUGCAUAAAUCCCCGACUGCUUGGAAGGGGUGUAUUUAUUAGACUUAAGCCAAUAUUCCUUGUGUCUAUUGCGAUGAUUCAUAAUAACUGAUCGAAUCUCAAAUUUGAGAUAAAUCAUUCAAGUUUCUGCCCUAUCAGCUUUCGAUGGUAGUGUAUUGGACUACCAUGGCAGUAACGGGUAACGAAGAAUUAGGGUUCGAUUUCGGAGAGGGAGCAUGAGAAACGGCUACCACAUCUAAGGAAGGCAGCAGG